GUUGGCUCAGAAGCAGCCACUCAUUCAAAGAGUGCGUAAUAGCUCACUGGUCGAGUGAUUUUGCGCCGAAAAUUUAACGGGGCUAAACUGUACACCGAAGCUUGGGAAUAUACAUUUGUAUGUUGGUAGGAGAGCGUUGUGUAAGGGGUGAAGUCGUAGCGAAAGCGGCGGUGGACUUUACACAAGUGAGAAUGCCGGAAUGAGUAGCGAGAAUUAUGUGAGAAUCAUAAUGGCCGAAAGACUAAGGUUUUAGAAGGAAGGUUCGUCCGCUUCUAGUUAGCCGGGAGCUAAGGCGAGGCCGAGAGGCGUAGUCGAUGCACAUACGGUUGAGAUUCCGUAGCUACCUUGCAUUUAAGCGAAGGGACACAUUUGAAGGGCAUGACCCGGGCGUUGGUUGACCCGGGCGCAAGGGACCGAAAAUAAGUAGGGAAGCAUGCUUGGAUGGUGGCGAGAAAAGCUUCGUGUAUAUAAGCAGGGUACCCGUACUGCAAACCGACACAGGUAGUCAGGAAGAGGAUUCUAAGGCCAUCGGGAGAAGCGUUGUUAAGGAACUCGGCAAAUUGACCCCGUAACUUCGGAAUAAGGGGUGCUCACGCGAGUGAGCCGCAGUGAAUAGGUCCAGGCAACUGUUUAUCAAAAACACAGCUCUCUGCUAAAUCGUAAGAUGACGUAUAGGGGGUGACACCUGCCCGGUGCUGGAAGGUUAAGAGGAGGGGUGCAAGCUCCGAAUUGAAGCCCCAGUAAACGGCGGCCGUAACUAUAACGGUCCUAAGGUAGCGAAAUUCCUUGUCGGGUAAGUUCCGACCCGCACGAAUGGUGUAACGAUCUGGGCACUGUCUCAACUACCCACCCGGCGAAAUUGUAGUACCGGUGAAGAUGCCGGUUACCCGCGGCAAGACGGAAAGACCCCAUGGAGCUUCACUGUAGCCUGAUAUUGGGUCUCGGUAUUUUAUGUACAGGAUAGGCGGGAGACUUGGAAACCAGCACGCCAGUGUUGGCGGAGUCACCCUUGGGAUACCGCUCUUAAAGUAUUGAGAUUCUAACCUGCAGCCAUGAAUCUGGCUGGGGGACAUUGUCAGGUGGGCAGUUUGACUGGGGCGGUCGCCUCCAAAAGAGUAACGGAGGCGUUCAAAGGUUCACUCAGCAUGGACGGAAACCAUGCCUUAGAGUGCAAACGCAUAAGUGAGCCUAACUGCGAGACUGACGGGUCGAGCAGUAACGAAAGUUGGAGUUAGUGAU
Molecule: ribosomal RNA, 1239 nt
Filed under: human gut metagenome
Description: bacterial LSU rRNA
Rfam family: Bacterial large subunit ribosomal RNA
Source: RNAcentral